Molecule: long non-coding RNA, 681 nt
Organism: Micropterus salmoides (largemouth bass)
Lineage: Eukaryota; Metazoa; Chordata; Actinopteri; Centrarchiformes; Centrarchidae
Exons: 3
Source: RefSeq, a predicted model, not a curated record
GCACAGCUACUACUCCAAUAUCCGAGGCAUCAACUACAAGUUGAUGGGUUGUCACUUGAGCAUGGGAGCCUUCAUUCCAAUAUUAUAUCUUUAUAGAUAGAUGCUUUGUGUGAAGGGAUGGCAGAGCCAGGCGGCAUGUUGGAAGAGUGCAGUGGCCGAGAAGGGACGUAAAGAGCAAAGCGACAUGACCGAGAGACAGCAGCAACAAGGACAGCUGAGAGUGAUCCAGCUGCAGUCUACUCAGGAGAUGUCAGUUAUGGACAAAUAGCUGUCAGGCCACACAAGACGAGAGAGUUUCCAGUAGAGACAGAGGUCGUCUACUCUUCACUGAGGUAGACCUUCACACCUUCAUACCAGUCCAACCACUGAUGUCCUGCUGGCCUGGAACUGGUCCCCAGAGCCCCUCACACCUCAGCACAUCCAUUUAUUAUAUAAAUAAAUUGUUAAAAUCCUGUUUUUUUUUACCCUGUAAGUGUUUCAGUACUUUCCACAGAACCAACAUGUUACCUGUUGUCAUUCAUAUAUUUCUACUGAACACAAACUAAUAAUAAACUCCAGUUGUUUUGGGGGCAAUGUAAUAACUUUACUUUUAUUUACUGUAUAUUUUAUUAAUGUUUUUGUUUCUUGUUGCAGCAGCAACUUCUUUCUCUGCAGGACCAGUAAACUUUGGUCUCGUUCUUA